Molecule: ribosomal RNA, 801 nt
Filed under: Triticum aestivum (bread wheat)
Lineage: Eukaryota; Viridiplantae; Streptophyta; Magnoliopsida; Poales; Poaceae
Description: partial small subunit ribosomal RNA
Source: RNAcentral
AUGUUCCGGACAUCACUCCAUUUACAGGAGGAUAAAAUACUCCUAAUCAUACAAAAGGAUCAGGGAGUUGCUCAUCUCAAACUUAUCCUCUUUACAAUCAAACAUUACAAUGAUCUAACAAUGGUUUAUUCUUCUUAUGUAUGCACACGAGCUUAUACAAAAGGACGCCUCCUUUUGUUUCGAUUGGUGGCUCGGCUCCUGGACGAUAAAGCGUCGUCGUCCGCCCAUCAUCAUCUGCGAACUCAUCUGCGACGCCAUCGCCGAGUGCCCGCACACGCACAGCCGCUAAAGCUCGGCCUGGUUCCCCGACCGGCUGAGCACGACCGUCGGCGGUCGACCCAGUUCCUUGGGCGACAAGGCGCUGCUGCCGGCAAUCCGCCAAAUUCCGCGGGUGUCGAAGCACGACUCAGACCGGCGCACGGCUCCGGCUCCCCGAGCAGUGAAGUACGAUCACCAGCGCUCGCGUCAGCCUCGCCCAUGGCUGCGUCGACCCGCGACUGGACUGCGGCCAGCUGCUCAUCCUCCCUCGUCAGCUUCUCCAGCGUGGUGGCUGUGGCACGCGCGCGGGUCCGCCCGUCGCUCCUCCGGGUGCGCGGUUCUUCGCUCCAUCGCCGUUUGCUGGUCAUGGUUUUCCUUUCUCCUUUAACCAUGCAAGGUGAGUGGGCCAUCUCCUCCUUGAUUACCUGCAUGCAGGUUAAUGCGGUGUACAGGCAACAGAAGGGCGUGGUGAUCUCCAACGUCAAAUUAAUUGGCUGCCUCAUUAAGCGGCCAAUUGAUGGAUUACUAACGCCACUUAUCUGA